AAUUCGCGUAGAGAUAGCCUUAGUGCCUUCGGGAACUAGUGAGACAGGUGCUGCAUGGCUGUCGUCAGCUCGUGUUGUGAAAUGUUGGGUUAAGUCCCGCAACGAGCGCAACCCUUAUCCUUUGUUGCCAGCGGUUCGGCCGGGAACUCAAAGGAGACUGCCAGUGAUAAACUGGAGGAAGGUGGGGAUGACGUCAAGUCAUCAUGGCCCUUACGAGUAGGGCUACACACGUGCUACAAUGGCGCAUACAAAGAGAAGCGACCUCGCGAGAGCAAGCGGACCUCAUAAAGUGCGUCGUAGUCCGGAUCGGAGUCUGCAACUCGACUCCGUGAAGUCGGAAUCGCUAGUAAUCGUAGAUCAGAAUGCUACGGUGAAUACGUUCCCGGG
RNAcentral lists this ribosomal RNA (387 nucleotides) under Buttiauxella sp. ARE_PHE20_C. RNAcentral's name for it is "bacterial SSU rRNA". It matches the Rfam family "Bacterial small subunit ribosomal RNA", at positions 993 to 1378 of the family's 1533-position model. Lineage: Bacteria; Pseudomonadati; Pseudomonadota; Gammaproteobacteria; Enterobacterales; Enterobacteriaceae. The record is from RNAcentral.